GUCAGAGAAAAAGAAGAAGAUGUCGAAGAAGAUAACCGGAGAUAGUCCCUUUGAGUACUCCUUUAAGAACAAGGGUCCUAAAAAGACACAAUCUCUUCCUCUAGCGUCAAUUCUGUUGGUGCAGAAUUUUAUCGAUGUCGGAGAAGCUGGAGUUGAGGGGAUCACGGCCGCCGUCGGGACCUGCAAGGAAAGUCUAAACUGGAGUUGGGGGUG
This 213-nucleotide long non-coding RNA is filed under the name Elaeis guineensis (African oil palm). RNAcentral describes it as "long non-coding RNA (EGUI_LNC053285)". The record is from RNAcentral. Lineage: Eukaryota; Viridiplantae; Streptophyta; Magnoliopsida; Arecales; Arecaceae.